GUGGGGAAUCUUGCGCAAUGGGCGAAAGCCUGACGCAGCCAUGCCGCGUGAAUGAUGAAGGUCUUAGGAUUGUAAAAUUCUUUCACCGGGGACGAUAAUGACGGUACCCGGAGAAGAAGCCCCGGCUAACUUCGUGCCAGCAGCCGCGGUAAUACGAAGGGGGCUAGCGUUGCUCGGAAUUACUGGGCGUAAAGGGCGCGUAGGCGGACAGUUUAGUCAGAGGUGAAAGCCCAGGGCUCAACCUUGGAAGUGCCUUUGAUACUGGCUGUCUUGAGUUUGGGAGAGGUGAGUGGAACUCCGAGUGUAGAGGUGAAAUUCGUAGAUAUUCGGAAGAACACCAGUGGCGAAGGCGACUCACUGGCCCAAUACUGACGCUGAGGCGCGAAAGCGUGGGGAGCAAACAGGAUUAGAAACCCGUGUAGUCC
This 425-nucleotide ribosomal RNA is filed under the name uncultured bacterium. RNAcentral describes it as "partial 16S ribosomal RNA". It matches the Rfam family "Bacterial small subunit ribosomal RNA", at positions 354 to 796 of the family's 1533-position model. The record is from RNAcentral.